AAGCGAAGCGGUGACGUGGAGCGAAUCCCAAAAAUAACGUCCCAGUUCGGAUUGUAGUCUGCAACCCGACUACAUGAAGCUGGAAUCGCUAGUAAUCGCGAAUCAGAAUGUCGCGGUGAAUGCGUUCCCGGGCCUUGUACACACCGCCCGUCACACCAUGAGAGUUGGCAAUACCCAACGUACGUGAUCUAACCCGCAAGGGAGGAAGCGUCCUAAGGUAGGGUCAGCGAUUGGGGUGAAGUCGUAACAAGGUAGC
RNAcentral lists this ribosomal RNA (256 nucleotides) under uncultured bacterium. Its description in RNAcentral is "partial 16S ribosomal RNA". It matches the Rfam family "Bacterial small subunit ribosomal RNA", at positions 1247 to 1500 of the family's 1533-position model. The record is from RNAcentral.